GACGAACCGUGCGAACGUUAUUCGGAAUCACUGGGCUUAAAGCGCGUGUAGGCGGGUGACCGCGUCGGUCGCUGAAAGCCCCCGGCUCAACCGGGGGACCGGCGCCGAUACGGGUCGCCUGGAGGGGCGUAGGGGGACCUGGAACUUCCGGUGGAGCGGUGAAAUGCGUAGAUAUCGGGAGGAACACCAGUGGCGAAGGCGACUUCCUGGACCGGCAUUGACGCUGAGGCGCGAAAGCCAGGGGAGCAAACGGG
This 254-nucleotide ribosomal RNA is filed under the name uncultured bacterium. RNAcentral's name for it is "partial 16S ribosomal RNA". It matches the Rfam family "Bacterial small subunit ribosomal RNA", at positions 524 to 776 of the family's 1533-position model. The record is from RNAcentral.